UGCAUCUGCAUCUCAUGAGGAUGAGAACCUCCGGGGGCAGGGAGGUUCGACUCGAGCGAAGCGAGAGAACGUUGCGCCAGCAACGGCCCGCAGGGCGAGCCACGAAGUGGCGAGUAAUCCUCUAUCACCGACCA
RNAcentral lists this small RNA (134 nucleotides) under Escherichia coli. RNAcentral's name for it is "RtT sRNA". It matches the Rfam family "RtT RNA". From Rfam's summary of the family: This family represents a bacterial cis-regulatory element known as RtT RNA. The record is from RNAcentral. Lineage: Bacteria; Pseudomonadati; Pseudomonadota; Gammaproteobacteria; Enterobacterales; Enterobacteriaceae.